RNAcentral lists this ribosomal RNA (253 nucleotides) under uncultured bacterium. RNAcentral's name for it is "partial 16S ribosomal RNA". It matches the Rfam family "Bacterial small subunit ribosomal RNA", at positions 524 to 776 of the family's 1533-position model. The record is from RNAcentral.
UACGUAGGGUGCAAGCGUUAAUCGGAAUUACUGGGCGUAAAGCGUGCGCAGGCGGUUAUGCAAGACAGAGGUGAAAUCCCCGGGCUCAACCUGGGAACUGCCUUUGUGACUGCAUAGCUAGAGUACGGUAGAGGGGGAUGGAAUUCCGCGUGUAGCAGUGAAAUGCGUAGAGAUGCGGAGGAACACCGAUGGCGAAGGCAACCCCCUGGGCUGACACUGACGCUCAGGCACGAAAGCGUGGGGAGCAAACAGG